RNAcentral lists this long non-coding RNA (699 nucleotides) under Neogobius melanostomus (round goby). RNAcentral's name for it is "lncRNA (ENSNMLG00000015445.1)". Lineage: Eukaryota; Metazoa; Chordata; Actinopteri; Gobiiformes; Gobiidae. The record is from RNAcentral.
AGCGGCCCAGACCCUCCUCUCCCUCCACGGCCGACAGGUGUGAAGCUCCUCCCCCUCCGUCCUCCACCGAUCAAAUCCCUCCCCGGGCGCCCUCCUCCCCCCAGCGUCACCUCGAACCCUCCGCCAUCUUUGAACAAAAGCCCGUCGUCCCCGUCGCUGCUGAGUGAGGCGUCUGUACCGAACAAUCACAGUCAGAGGGCGCUGAAGAAAGGGCCGCCGCUGCCUCCUCGGCCAAACCGGGACAUCCGCUUUACAACAGCAGCGAGAAACAGGAAGUCCUCAUCGUCCUGGAUGACCCGAGUCCCGCCCCCUCGGAGCACAACAGCCAAUCAGACGACAGCUCUGGCCCUGUCCCUAUCGCUCUUCAGUCCCUGCUGGAUUUGGACUUGAACCUGGGACCGAAUCUGGACCAGGAUCAGCACCAGACUAAAACGGCGCUAGAGGAACUCACUGAGACUCUGAAUAUUCUACCAGUGGAGUCCGUUGAGCAGAAGAAAGAGCCAGAGCCUGCGACAGUGAGUGGUCCGAGGUGUGUGGCGUUGUGCGACUUCGAGGCGGCGCUGGACGACGAGCUCGCCUUCUCUCGCGGCGAUGUCAUCUCUCUAAUGGAGCUGAUUGGUGGAGACGGACACUGGGGGCGGGCCAGCUGCACGGACGAAUGGGAAUCUUCCCCAUGAACUUCACCCAGACGCUGGAGCC